RNAcentral lists this long non-coding RNA (2590 nucleotides) under Homo sapiens (human). Its description in RNAcentral is "non-protein coding lnc-ADGRA2-4:3". Lineage: Eukaryota; Metazoa; Chordata; Mammalia; Primates; Hominidae. The record is from RNAcentral.
GAGAAUCUAAUCUGAGAGGUGGUAGGUGACGGAUGGGGUCCCCAGCUGCCAAAGGUCGCACGGCGGGAAGGAGCUGGCCGAAGCACUGACUUGGAAGUCAGACCUCAUUUCCAGGGUCACAUCGCCAGUCGUGGCCUUGCGCGGAUUACCUAACAUCAAGUCUCAAUUUCUUCACCUGACAAUCACCUCCUAGGAUUGCUGUAAAAAAUAAUAAUAAUAAUGCAUUACAGUUCUUGGCCCAGUGCCUGGCUCAUGGUGAGUUCUCAGUAAAUAACCAUGACCAGCACGUUGGGAGGCUGAGACAGGAGGAUCUCCUGAGCCCAGGAGUUCGAGACCAGCCUGGGCAACAUAGCCAGAUCCCCGUCUCUACAAAAAAAAUUAAAAAUAAUUAGAUAGGAGUGGUGGCAAGCGCCUGUGGUCCCCGCUACUUGGGAGGCUGAGUCUGGAGGAUCUCUGGAGCCCAGGAGGUCGAGGUGCAGUGAGCCGAGAUCGUGCCACUGCACUCCCAGCCUGGGCAACAGAGCAAGACCCUGUCUCAAAAAAAUAAAGUUGGUAACUAUGAGGGUGCUAAGGAAGAUGCCCACCCAAUUCACUGUGCUUUCUACUUCUCCCGCUGGAAAGCCUUGCUCUGGAGGAAGGCAGCUGCAGAGGAAGAUCCACAGAACCCCAAUCUUGGAUGGCUACUCGUGUCCCUCCAAUCUCCAGGCUCUCCUCCCUCUGGUUCACACUGCACAUUGCUUCACUAACCUGCUGGCUGCCUCACCAGCAACCGCGUUACCUUCGGACUGAACAGAGAUUUCAAGAAGGACCCUCACUCCAGUGACAAGUGUCCUAACAGAACAAGGCAGAGCGAGACUACACAAACAGGAGGAGAAAGACCUGAGAAGGAGGAGGCAGAGAUGAGACUGAUGCAUCCACAAACCAAGGAAUGCCCAAGGCCACCAGAAGCCAGAGGACACGAGUGACAACACCUCCCUAGAGCCUCUGGACAGAGUUCAACCCUGCUGACACCUUCAUUCUGGACUUUCAACCUCCAGAGCUGACAGUGAGAGAAUAAAUAUCUGUUGCCUUUUUUUUUUUUUUUUUUUUUCAGAUGGAGUCUCUCUUUGUCACCCAGGCUGCAGUGCAAUGGCACAAUCUCAGCUCACUACAAUCUCCGUCUCCCAGGUUCAAGCAAUUCUCCUGCCUCAGCCUCCCAAGUAGGUGGGAUUACAGGUGCCCGCCACCAUGCCUAGCUGAUUUUUGUAUUUUUAGUAGAGACAGGGGUUUCACCAUGUUGGCCAGGUUGGUCUUGAACUCCUGACUUCAGGUGAUCUUCCUGCCUUGGCCUCCCAAAGUCCUGGGAUUACAGGUGUGAGCCACUGCGCCCGGCCAUCUGUUGUCUUAAGCCACCAAGUUAGUGGUAAUUUGUGACAGCAGCCACAGGAAGCGAAUACAGGGGUAUGGGGAAUGAAAUCGCUCUAAAUUCUCCUCUGUCUUUCAGUGCAUAGACAUAAGUGUGCACCCACACCCAAGAAUGGAAUUGCUGGAUCACAGGGUGGGUGUAUGUUCAGCACUAAGAGAUAUUGCUAAACAAUUUUCUAAAGAGGUUAUAGCAAUUUAUACUCCCACCAAUGUUUGAGAUCCAGUUUCUCCACAUGGUUGUCAGCCUCAGUGCUAUGGUUUGAAUAUUUGACCCCUCCAAACCUCAUGUUGAAAUGUGAUCCCCAGUGUCAGAGGUGGGACCUAAUAGGAGGUGUUUGGGUCAUGGGGGCGGAUCCCUCAAGACUUCAUGACAGCUUGGUGCAGUCUUGGAAGUAGUGAGUAAGUUCUCGUUCUGUAAGUUCCUGUGAGGGCUGAUUGCGUUUUUUUUCGUUUCGUUUGUUGUUUGUUUGUUUUUCUUCGAGACGGAGUCUUGCUCUGUCACCCAGGCUGGAGUGCAGUGGCACCAUCUCGGCUCACUGCAACCUCCGCCUCCCAGGUUCAAGCAAUUCUCCUGCCUCAGCCUCCCAAGUAGCUGGGAUUACAGGCUCCUGCCACCAUGCACAGCUAAUUUUUGUAUUUUUAGUAGAGACGGGGUUUCGCCAUGUUGGCCAGGCUGGUCUUGAGCUGCUGGCCUCAAGUGACCCACCCGCCUCCGCCUCCCAGAGUGCUGGGAUUACAGGCAUGAGCCACCGCGUCCAGCCUGGGCUGGUUAUUAAAAAAAACAGACUGCUACCUCCCCUCUCUCUCUUGCUUUCUCUCUCACCCUAUGGUCUCUGCACACGCAGGCUUCCGUUUGCCUUCUGCCAUGAGUGGAAGCAGGUUGAGGCCCCCAUCAGAAGUAGAUGUUGGUGCCAUGCUUCUUGUAUGGCCAGAAGAACCAGCAGCCAAAUGAACCUCUUUUCUUUAUAAAUUACCCAGCCUUGGGUAUUCCUUAUAGUAACACAAGCAGAUGAAGACAUUUAGUAUUGUCUUUUGCAUUUCACCCUUCUGGCGGCUGUGCAAUAGUUUUAAUUUUUAUUUCCCUGGUGACUAAUGAGGCUGUAUGCUUUUUCUUAAGCUUUUUCACCAUUUGGAUAUGGUUUUCUCGUGAUGGGCCUACUCAUAUCUUUGGCCCAUUUUUCUUCUG